RNAcentral lists this long non-coding RNA (487 nucleotides) under Nicotiana benthamiana. Its description in RNAcentral is "long non-coding RNA (NBEN_LNC039739)". Lineage: Eukaryota; Viridiplantae; Streptophyta; Magnoliopsida; Solanales; Solanaceae. The record is from RNAcentral.
UUUGGAUUUCAACUUUAUAUUUUUCUUUUCUUUCUUUUGCAGAUUGGAUUUCCAGGUAGAUAACUGUAACUGAUCCAUUAUGAUUUUGUGGAUAACAGUGUAUUUCAUCAGGAUAUUUCACCUAAACAUGCGUACAUAGUUCAAAAAGCUCAUCUUAAAUGGGUCAUUUACUCUUUGCCACCAAAACAUGUUUGAUCAUUGUUCUUCGUUUCCAAGUUAUUUGGUACUUGUAAAAGAUAUACUAUUCUUCGUUUCCAAGUUAUUUGGUACUUUUAAAAGAUAUACUAUAUGUAUUCGUUGGUUAUUUAUUUAUUUAUUUUGUGAUGCCAUCUCUACAGUAAGUUACAUGAGCUGUUAUUUCCACAAGUAGAAUCUUCUUGGUGCGUAAAUUGUGGUUGUACUCCUGCUUUUUUCUUUGGCUGAAUCUUGGAAAAUGAUAAUUAUGAUAUUCUUUCUGCCUGGUUUUCCAUCUACUUCUGCUUUUCCU